Non-coding RNA from Myotis davidii, 74 nucleotides. Lineage: Eukaryota; Metazoa; Chordata; Mammalia; Chiroptera; Vespertilionidae. The record is from Rfam.
GCCUGUGUGGUCCAGUGGUGAGAGCAUCAGCCUGUGCAGGAAAGGCUCAUGGGUUCAAGUCCCAGUCAAGGGCA